AGAGUUUGAUCCUGGCUCAGAGCGAACGCUGGCGGCGUGCUUAACACAUGCAAGUCGAGCGAGAAAGGGAACUUCGGUUCCUGAGUACAGCGGCGAACGGGUGAGUAAUACGUGGGUGAUCUACCCCUAGGGUGGGAAUAACCCGGGGAAACCCGGGCUAAUACCGAAUAAGACCACAGGAGGCAACUCCAGGGGUCAAAGGGAGCUUCGGCCCCCCCCAAGGGAUGAGCCCGCGGCCUAUCAGCUUGUUGGUGGGGUAAAGGCCCACCAAGGCAAAGACGGGUAGCUGGUCUGAGAGGAUGACCAGUCACACGGGGACUGAGACACGGCCCCGACUCCUACGGGAGGCAGCAGUGGGGAAUAUUGGACAAUGGGGGAAACCCUGAUCCAGCGACGCCGCGUGGGUGAUGAAGGCUUUCGGGUCGUAAAGCCCUGUCAGGAGGAAAGAACGCUCCUAUAGCGAAUAGCUAUAGGAAGUGACGGUACCUCCAAAGGAAGCACCGGCCAACUCCGUGCCAGCAGCCGCGGUAAGACGGAGGGUGCGAACGUUGCUCGGAAUCACUGGGCGUAAAGGGUGCGUAGG
This 583-nucleotide ribosomal RNA is filed under the name uncultured bacterium. RNAcentral describes it as "bacterial SSU rRNA". It matches the Rfam family "Bacterial small subunit ribosomal RNA", at positions 8 to 575 of the family's 1533-position model. The record is from RNAcentral.